This 385-nucleotide ribosomal RNA is filed under the name uncultured bacterium. RNAcentral's name for it is "bacterial SSU rRNA". It matches the Rfam family "Bacterial small subunit ribosomal RNA", at positions 355 to 732 of the family's 1533-position model. The record is from RNAcentral.
UGGGGAAUUUUGGACAAUGGGCGCAAGCCUGAUCCAGCAAUGCCGCGUGCAGGAAGAAGGCCUUCGGGUUGUAAACUGCUUUUGUACGGAACGAAACGGUCUGAAUUAAUACCUCGGGCUAAUGACGGUACCGUAAGAAUAAGCACCGGCUAACUACGUGCCAGCAGCCGCGGUAAUACGUAGGGUGCAAGCGUUAAUCGGAAUUACUGGGCGUAAAGCGUGCGCAGGCGGUGAUGUAAGACAGUCGUGAAAUCCCCGGGCUCAACCUGGGAAUUGCGAUUGUGACUGCAUCGCUGGAGUGCGGCAGAGGGGGAUGGAAUUCCGCGUGUAGCAGUGAAAUGCGUAGAUAUGCGGAGGAACACCGAUGGCGAAGGCAAUCCCCUGG